GACAAACGCUGGCGGCAUGCCUAACACAUGCAAGUCGAACGGACAGAACAGGGAAGCUUUUCGGAGUGGAACUGGAAAGUUAGUGGCGGAGGGGUGAGUAACGCGUGGACAACCUACCUUGUAAAGGGGAAUAACCUCGAGAAAUCGAAGCUAAUACCCCAUAAUAACCUUGCUUCGCAUGAAGUAAGGAGGAAAGGCGGCCUUAGCGCUGUCGAUACAAGAUGGGUCCGCGUCUGAUUAGCUAGUUGGUGAGGUAAAGGCUCACCAAGGCGACGAUCAGUAGCCGGCCUGAGAGGGUGAACGGCCACAUUGGGACUGAGACACGGCCCAAACUCCUACGGGAGGCAGCAGUGGGGAAUCUUCCGCAAUGGGCGAAAGCCUGACGGAGCAAUGCCGCGUGAGUGAAGAAGGCCUUCGGGUUGUAAAACUCUGUCCUUAUCGAAGAGAGAGUGUUGUAGUAACUGACAAUACUAGGACGGUAGAUGAGGAGGAAGCCCCGGCUAACUAUGUG
This 511-nucleotide ribosomal RNA is filed under the name uncultured bacterium. RNAcentral describes it as "partial 16S ribosomal RNA". It matches the Rfam family "Bacterial small subunit ribosomal RNA", at positions 28 to 507 of the family's 1533-position model. The record is from RNAcentral.